CUUUGGGUGUGACUGCGUACCUUUUGUAUAAUGGGUCAGCGACUUAUAUUCUGUAGCAAGGUUAACCGAAUAGGGGAGCCGGAGGGAAACCGAGUCUUAACCGGGCGUUAAGUUGCAGGGUAUAGACCCGAAACCCGGUGAUCUAGCCAUGGGCAGGUUGAAGGUUGGGUAACACUAACUGGAGGACCGAACCGACUAAUGUUGAAAAAUUAGCGGAUGACCUGUGGCUGGGGGUGAAAGGCCAAUCAAACCGGGAGAUAGCUGGUUCUCCCCGAAAGCUAUUUAGGUAGCGCCUCGUGAAUUCAUCUCCGGGGGUAGAGCACUGUUUCGGCUAGGGGGCCAUCCCGGCUUACCAACCCGAUGCAAACUGCGAAUACCGGAGAAUGUUAUCACGGGAGACACACGGCGGGUGCUAACGUCCGUCGUGAAGAGGGAAACAACCCAGACCGCCAGCUAAGGUCCCAAAGUCAUGGUUAAGUGGGAAACGAUGUGGGAAGGCCCAGACAGCCAGGAUGUUGGCUUAGAAGCAGCCAUCAUUUAAAGAAAGCGUAAUAGCUCACUGGUCGAGUCGGCCUGCGCGGAAGAUGUAACGGGGCUAAACCAUGCACCGAAGCUGCGGCAGCGACACUGUGUGUUGUUGGGUAGGGGAGCGUUCUGUAAGCCUGUGAAGGUGUGUCGUGAGGCAUGCUGGAGGUAUCAGAAGUGCGAAUGCUGACAUAAGUAACGAUAAAGCGGGUGAAAAGCCCGCUCGCCGGAAGACCAAGGGUUCCUGUCCAACGUUAAUCGGGGCAGGGUGAGUCGACCCCUAAGGCGAGGCCGAAAGGCGUAGUCGAUGGGAAACGGGUUAAUAUUCCCGUACUUGGUGUUACUGCGAAGGGGGGACGGAGAAGGCUAUGUUGGCCGGGCGACGGUU
RNAcentral lists this ribosomal RNA (913 nucleotides) under Salmonella enterica subsp. enterica serovar Enteritidis. RNAcentral describes it as "partial 23S ribosomal RNA". It matches the Rfam family "Bacterial large subunit ribosomal RNA", at positions 583 to 1503 of the family's 2925-position model. The record is from RNAcentral. Lineage: Bacteria; Pseudomonadati; Pseudomonadota; Gammaproteobacteria; Enterobacterales; Enterobacteriaceae.